GAUGAACGCUGGCGGCGCGCCUAACACAUGCAAGUCGAACGAUUAAAGCACCUUCGGGUGUGUAUAAAGUGGCGAACGGCUGAGUAACACGUGGGCAACCUGCCCCUUUCAUUGGGAUAGCCACGGGAAACCGUGGAUAAUACCGAAUACUUCGAGACUUCCGCAUGGAAGACUCGAGAAAGCUCCGGCGGAGAGGGAUGGGCCCGCGGCCUGUUAGCUUGUUGGUGGGGUAACGGCCUACCAAGGCAAUGAUGGGUAGCUGGGUUGAGAGACCGACCAGCCAGAUUGGGACUGAGACACGGCCCAGACUCCUACGGGAGGCAGCAGUGGGGAAUCUUGCACAAUGGGCGAAAGCCUGAUGCAGCGACGCCGCGUGCGGGAUGAAGGCCUUCGGGUUGUAAACCGCUUUCAGCAGGGACGAGGCGAAA
This 428-nucleotide ribosomal RNA is filed under the name Lancefieldella parvula. RNAcentral describes it as "bacterial SSU rRNA". It matches the Rfam family "Bacterial small subunit ribosomal RNA", at positions 28 to 455 of the family's 1533-position model. Lineage: Bacteria; Bacillati; Actinomycetota; Coriobacteriia; Coriobacteriales; Atopobiaceae. The record is from RNAcentral.